This 989-nucleotide long non-coding RNA is filed under the name Numida meleagris (helmeted guineafowl). RNAcentral's name for it is "lncRNA (ENSNMEG00000006010.1)". Lineage: Eukaryota; Metazoa; Chordata; Aves; Galliformes; Numididae. The record is from RNAcentral.
AUGGAUUUUGAAGAGUCAAUGGAGAGCAAUUGAGGUGCUGCCGCAUCCUUGCCAGAAGUUAACGGGCCCUGACGCUGCUCAACUCAGUGCUGAGAGGCAUCAGGAGCUUCAGCUGUGCAUCCAGAGAUACCAGGACAGGCAAGGAAAUUAAGCCCUAGACUCCUUUUGGAGCCCCAAGCCCGUCACUUGAUGUUCUAAUUGAGAUGCCAAAGCCAAGCUAAGAUGCUGAACCUCUUUGGCUUGUGUUCAUUUCUGCUCAAUCCACAUAAAACAGCAGUUUCCAUUCUCCAGAAGGAAAUGGGAAGAUGUUCUGCUCGGGAUCCCAUCAGAGCGUGGCCCAGAGGAGCUGGUGCUGCUGCCAACCCUCAGCGGUGCCACAGCAGCCAGGCACCAAGAGACAGCGUGGCACUAUGAGCAUAUCCCAGCCCUCAGCCAUGCUGAGCAUGCAUGGAAAUAGCAGUGCUGCAUCUCCUGCUAACCCAGCGGGACAACAAGGGCUGCUUCACGGGGAGGUGACACAGAGGUGGCUGCAGAUGAGGCAGCUCGAGGAGAGAAGCCACCUGCCGAGGCCACCAGCUGUUCCUGUCCCAGAUCUGAGCCAAACUGUGGGUCCCAGACCCAAGAGAGCAAGGCACGGAGCUUGGAUCCAUGAACCUCUGGGAGCCAUUGGAUGGGGAACUCAACUUCAGUGCUCAGAAUGUGUGCUGGGAGGGACUGAGGAGCAGCUGUGGAGCUCUGUGUCUUACCAUCAUUAUGACUGGAGCUCAAAGUCAAACCUGGGGGCUCCAGUCCCUGAAAGAAUCGAAGGUUCCCCCGCCUGCCUCGUUAAACUCCAGCGUGAAAACCGCUCCAGUGAUUUAUGGAGAAUCAAAGCUAAAGCCCCACUCGUUUGCAGAUGUGAUGUUUGGAUUCGAGGUGUUGUUUCAAAGAAAAGUGAUGGAUCAAAACCUGGAGACGAAGUCCAGCCCAGUCCCCAGCAGCAGCCCUGA